CCGAAAGCUAUUUAGGUAGCGCCUCGUGAAUUCAUCUCCGGGGGUAGAGCACUGUUUCGGCAAGGGGGUCAUCCCGACUUACCAACCCGAUGCAAACUGCGAAUACCGGAGAAUGUUAUCACGGGAGACACACGGCGGGUGCUAACGUCCGUCGUGAAGAGGGAAACAACCCAGACCGCCAGCUAAGGUCCCAAAGUCAUGGUUAAGUGGGAAACGAUGUGGGAAGGCCCAGACAGCCAGGAUGUUGGCUUAGAAGCAGCCAUCAUUUAAAGAAAGCGUAAUAGCUCACUGGUCGAGUCGGCCUGCGCGGAAGAUGUAACGGGGCUAAACCAUGCACCGAAGCUGCGGCAGCGACGCUGAUGCGUUGUUGGGUA
This 374-nucleotide ribosomal RNA is filed under the name Escherichia coli. RNAcentral's name for it is "partial 23S ribosomal RNA". It matches the Rfam family "Bacterial large subunit ribosomal RNA", at positions 859 to 1230 of the family's 2925-position model. The record is from RNAcentral. Lineage: Bacteria; Pseudomonadati; Pseudomonadota; Gammaproteobacteria; Enterobacterales; Enterobacteriaceae.